AGCUCCAAUAGCGUAUAUUUAAGUUGUUGCAGUUAAAAAGCUCGUAGUUGGAUUUCGGUUAAGAGCGACCGGUCCGCCGUUUGGUGUGCACUGGUUGGUUUUAACUUCCUGUAGAGGACGUGCUCUGGGUUUAACGACCUGGACUCGGAGUCUACGUGGUUACUUUGAAAAAUUAGAGUGUUCAAAGCGGGCUUACGCUUGAAUAUUUCAGCAUGGAAUAACACUAUAGGACUCCUGUCCUAUUUCGUUGGUCUCGGGACGGGAGUAAUGAUUAAGAGGAACAGUUGGGGGCAUUCGUAUUUCAUUGUCAGAGGUGAAAUUCUUGGAUUUAUGAAAGACGAACUUCUGCGAAAGCAUUUGCCAAGGAUGUUUUCA
Molecule: ribosomal RNA, 375 nt
Filed under: uncultured eukaryote
Lineage: Eukaryota
Description: SSU rRNA
Rfam family: Eukaryotic small subunit ribosomal RNA
Source: RNAcentral